GAGCCUGUUUCACUACAGUGAAACUUCAAGACUCUGUAUCAUGCCUCUGAGAUUUUUGGAUUAAGCUUUGUUAAAUUAUUUCUAACAUUCCCACUCAUUCCCUGACCCUCCCAACCUCAUUGCUCUGGCCAAUGAUCAUUGCAUAGUUGAAUCUGAACAGCCAAACCACUGACCAUUCCCCCCACUCUCCCACCCCCAUGCACUCUGGGGCCUGUUCUCAAAGGCAAUGAUCUUAUCUGGCAAUUUCCUCCUCUGACACAGUUUCCAUGGCAACUUGUGCCCUCAUAAUCACAGGAAGCCCAUGAGGAAACAUACACAGGGCGGCUCCUUCAAUCCAAUCAUUCCAGCAGUGAGCCAGGGAGCACCCUUUCAAUAGAAUGGCCUUCCACAAACAGAGCCAGCCUGAGAGCAAGUGGAUUCCACCUGCCCACAGGACAGAAGAUUCCACUUUGCCACAGGCAUGCCUGUCAACAGCCAUAUUGAAUGGCAUUUAAACUCAAUGGACAAGCAGGGGUAGAAGCCAUGAGACUACAGAUUAUUUUUAACACUAGGACCUGGAAUGAGGGUAAAAACAAAUUUCCACUCAUUGCCCCAGCUCUAAUAGAUAAUUCCUUUCCAUUAAUUAGGCUUAGGAAUUGGACUCAAUGAUUUCUCCAGGACAAGUAAUGGACCCAUUUGAACCUGGAGACAGUGGUCUGGGAAAAUACUCUAUUUCUACCUAUCUCAUCAGAAAAAAAAAUCUUUCCAUGCAACAAACACAGUGAUAUUCACAUAGAAGCUAAACCAGAAAUUCAAAAAGGAUAAUUACAACUCAACGUAUUCAUGCAUACAAAAUCCACAUGCAGAUAGCAAUAAAGUAGAUGUCAAGAAAA
Monodelphis domestica (gray short-tailed opossum) is the source of this 872-nucleotide long non-coding RNA. RefSeq lists it as uncharacterized. Lineage: Eukaryota; Metazoa; Chordata; Mammalia; Didelphimorphia; Didelphidae. The record is from RefSeq and is a predicted model, not a curated record.